This 73-nucleotide transfer RNA is filed under the name Rhodococcoides kroppenstedtii. RNAcentral describes it as "tRNA-Val". It matches the Rfam family "tRNA". Rfam says of the family: Transfer RNA (tRNA) molecules are approximately 80 nucleotides in length. Their secondary structure includes four short double-helical elements and three loops (D, anti-codon, and T loops). Lineage: Bacteria; Bacillati; Actinomycetota; Actinomycetes; Mycobacteriales; Nocardiaceae. The record is from RNAcentral. RNAcentral also lists the same sequence under 3 other names.
GGGCGUAUAGCUCAGCGGUAGAGCUCUGGUUUUACACACCAGCGGUCGGGGGUUCGAACCCCUCUGCGCCCAC